RNAcentral lists this long non-coding RNA (548 nucleotides) under Brassica rapa (field mustard). Its description in RNAcentral is "long non-coding RNA (BRAP_LNC002077)". The record is from RNAcentral. Lineage: Eukaryota; Viridiplantae; Streptophyta; Magnoliopsida; Brassicales; Brassicaceae.
GGCUUAGGUGGAGUUGGUGUUGGCGGUGUUACGACCGGUGGGCUUGGUGUUGGUGGCGUAACAACAGGUGGCGGUGGGCACGGUGAUGGCGGUGGCGGUGGGCACGGUGAUGGCGGCGUUACGACGGGUGGAGGCGUAUGAGUGGGUGGUUUAGGGGUGGACGGAGGUGGUUUAACAGUGGGCGGUUUCGUGGGUGGUUUCGGGGUAGACGGAGGAGGUUUAACGGUGGGCGGUUUCGUGGGUGGUUUCGGGGUGGACGGAGGUGGUUUAACGGUGGGCGGUUUCGUGGGUGGUUUCGGGGUGGGAUGAGGUUUGGUAGGGGGUUUCGGAUGUGGGUGUGGUUUGACAGUGGGCGGUUUGGUAGGGGGUUUAGGGUGUGGGUGUGGUUUGACGGUGGGUGGUUUGGGAGGUUUUACUGCCGGUGGUUUAGGCGGUUUGCUAGGAUGUUUAGGCGGUUUGUGGGGGUGAGGUGAUGGUUUAGGAGGGCUACAGUCGCAAGCGAAGGAGACGGCAAGAAAGCCAAGGAAGAGGAAGAUAAGAAAAGAGAG